RNAcentral lists this long non-coding RNA (824 nucleotides) under Theobroma cacao (cacao). RNAcentral's name for it is "long non-coding RNA (TCAC_LNC001614)". The record is from RNAcentral. Lineage: Eukaryota; Viridiplantae; Streptophyta; Magnoliopsida; Malvales; Malvaceae.
UUUUCAAAAAAAAUAUCUUAGUCUACCUAGAAUUCAAAAUUUUCUCAAUAAUGUAUCCCAAUCUAACUAGAAUUAAAGUAUCCUAGUCUAACUAAAAUUUAAGACAAUCUCUGCACGGUCAGAGAUAUCUCCAAGCUUUGCCUAUGCCUAAUCCCUUCCUCACACAAUCUUAAGGGCGCCUCCCCCACAUCAAUCUAGUGAGAUUUUACUCAUAGAGUGUUCCACACAAAGAUCAAACACUGAUGCAUGAGGAAACAGGACUACUUUCCUUACCUAUUGGACUAGUCCGUGGGAGCGCUUCUUUACUCCUUAUAUAAUGGUAAAAUAUUCACCUGAAUCCUUCUUUUUCCAAUUUUGAUUAAUAAUCUUAUUAUACUAUCCCAAUGUUGUGCAACCAAGUAAAACUAUUAAUACCUUCAUAUGAUUAUUGUCGUAAUAAUGCUAAUGUGAGAAGUAAUAUUUUAAUAAUAAAAAUUAUGAGAUAGCUUUCUGGUUUAUCCACUUAUUGCAUCCCAAUUACUAAAAAGUAUUGUCUCUUACUCAUAAAAAAUGGUCUUACUAAAGAUUUUUGAACUAAGAAAUCUAAUUUAUUUUCUAAGAAACAAAUCAAUUCUAAUAUAAAUUAUGGCAAAUGGAAAAAAAAAAAUCCAGGGGCAAAGAGAGGCAUCACAAAGAAAGAAGAAGAGAAGCGGUUGCCGCUCCCAUGCACCAAAAAAGAAAAAAAGAAGUAGAAGAAAAAGCGGUCGUCAAAUUAAUCAACAAAUUUUCUUGUUGGAGAGGUGUUGAGACCUUGAAAAAUUUGAACCAUUUCGAGGUGAAUUAAG